RNAcentral lists this ribosomal RNA (403 nucleotides) under uncultured bacterium. RNAcentral describes it as "partial 16S ribosomal RNA". It matches the Rfam family "Bacterial small subunit ribosomal RNA", at positions 28 to 526 of the family's 1533-position model. The record is from RNAcentral.
GACGAACGCUGGCGGCGUGCUUAACACAUGCAAGUCGAGCGGAGCGGCGAAAGGGUGAGUAACGCGUGAGUAACUGCCCCCCUCUCUGGGAUAACAGUUGGAAACGGCUGCUAAUACCGGAUAGUGGGGGAUGAAUCGAGUCCUAUCAGGUUGUUGGUGGGGUAGUGGCCUACCAAGGCGACGACGGGUAGCCGGCCUGAGAGGGCGACCGGCCACAGUGGGCUGAGAGACGGCCCAAACUCCUACGGGAGGCAUCAGGGUGAACCUUGCCGAACGGGGCAAACCCUGAGGCAGCAACGCGCGUGCGGGAUGACGGCUUUCGGGUUGUAAACCGCUUUCAUCCAUGACGCGGUAGUGGCAGAAGAAGCACCGGCUAACUACGUGCCAGCAGCCGCGGUAAUAC